This 460-nucleotide ribosomal RNA is filed under the name uncultured bacterium. Its description in RNAcentral is "partial 16S ribosomal RNA". It matches the Rfam family "Bacterial small subunit ribosomal RNA", at positions 338 to 795 of the family's 1533-position model. The record is from RNAcentral.
CCUACUGGAGUCUGCAGUGAGGAAUCUUCGUCAAUGGACGAGAGUCUGAACCAGCCAAGUAGCGUGAAGGAUGACUGCCCUAUGGGUUGUACACUUCUUUUAUAUGGGAAUAAAACGUUCCACGUGUGGGAUUUUGUAUGUACCAUAUGUAUAAUGAUCGUCUAACUCCGUGCCAGCAGCCGCGGUAAUACGGAGGAUCCGAUCGUUAUCCGGAUUUAUUGGGUUUAAAGGGAGCGUAGGUGGAUUGUUAAGUUAGUUGUGAAAGUUUGCGGCUCAACCGUAAAAUUGCAGUUGAAACUGGCAGUCUUGAGUACAGUAGAGGUGGGCGGAAUUCGUGGAGUAGCGGUGAAAUGCUUAGAUAUCACGAAGAACUCCGAUUGCGAAGGCAGUCUACUAAACUGCCACUGACAUUGAUGCUCGAAAGUGUGGGUAUCAAACAGGAUUAGAUACCCCAGUAGUC